GCACCCGGUGAUUAUAAAAAGACGCGUUAUUCUGAGGGUUUUUGCUAGAGGUCAGCUUUUCUGCUUUUUUCUCUUCUCUAUUCCUUCUCCUAUUCUCUUCUUUGAAGCUGACAACUAGUCCGUUGACUGCGAUUAUGAGAUAUGAGGGUGC
Molecule: small nucleolar RNA, 151 nt
Organism: Clarias gariepinus (North African catfish)
Lineage: Eukaryota; Metazoa; Chordata; Actinopteri; Siluriformes; Clariidae
Product: small nucleolar RNA SNORD97
Exons: 1
Source: RefSeq, a predicted model, not a curated record